UGUCAAUAAGCUGUUGUCGCCACACCUAGAACGGAGAUCCUUGAAAUUAACAAACUCAAAGCUGUAGAGGGGAAUCGAAUCAAUCUCCUAUCUCAGUGACCACCGUCUGCCUUCUAAUGUACAUAGUCCACUCAUUGCUACAUGACAUAUAGUAGUCCCUCUGCACAUCAACAUGAAAAUCUGACAAGGCAUAGACCUUCCCUUCAACUAGCCUGUGCUCAAACCGCUCUAUAUCGCCGGGUUCUACACGCGCCUGCAUAGUUUUACCCUACGAGUGGAAUACAACUAGAAGAAUCAGUGCAUUGAGAAAAAGGAUGGUAAUUAAACAUUAGUAGCCAGCAAGCAAUGUGAUUCAGCUGUUUGGUGUUUGACUUAAGGUACGGAAUGCAGCACCUGAUCGUCGAUCAGAAGGCAGUCAAGGCCGAACAAAGUGUCAUUUUUUGGAUUGAAGGACUCCCACAGCCGCGAGAUGCGCACCCGAACUUUACAUUUGUCCAUUCCAUAUUUUAACUGAGACAGUGGGGUGAACACGUCCUCAGCUGAACCCAUUUUGGCCUGGAAGGCUUGAAGCUGCAAAAUAGCAUAGAAAAAAAAGGAAAUAGUGAUUAAUAUUGUACUGUUGUACUCCCUCCGUUCCAAAAUAAGUGUCACUGAUUUAGUACAAAGUGUACUAAAUCAACAACACUUAUUUUGGGAAGGAGGGAGUACAUUUUAAGCUUAGGAGUCCAGUAAUAAAUUUUACCAGUACUCUAAAAGGCUGAAAUUAACCUUCCCAGCAUAAUUUUUUGCUUACUAAACAGGAGUAUUAACUGGUUUAAAUUCUGAGUUGUGUGUGUAUGUUGUGAUGAAAAGGCAUCAGGUGUGUUGCCUGUAAAGCUAUUUUGGGAUGAAAUUUCUUGCAUUUUUCGUGUUGGUCAGAAUACUAGAUGUGAGUUUCAAUAAUGCUGCUACUUUGUGGUAUACAUGGAAAAUUAUAGUAACACGAUUUGCCAUCAAAAGGUGUGACGUCAGCAACCAGAAUAUGAUGCCCCCCAAAAAAGGAUUUUAACAAAUANNNNNNNNNNNNNNNNNNNNNNNNNNNNNNNNNNNNNNNNNNNNNNNNNNNNNNNNNNNNNNNNNNNNNNNNNNNNNNNNNNNNNNNNNNNNNNNNNNNNNNNNNNNNNNNNNNNNNNNNNNNNNNNNNNNNNNNNNNNNNNNNNNNNNNNNNNNNNNNNNNNNNNNNNNNNNNNNNNNNNNNNNNNNNNNNNNNNNNNNNNNNNNNNNNNNNNNNNNNNNNNNNNNNNNNNNNNNNNNNNNNNNNNNNNNNCAACCACUAGGAGCACAGAUCGACUUGACCACGAGUUGUGAUGGAAAACAAAAAAAAAUCCGAAUAAAUGCCGAGAUUAUUCAAGAACUGAGGCCAAGUCAGAUCGCAAACUCAACAGCGCAGUAGAACCUCGCAGCUAUUCAAGGAGGCUACUACAGGAGUGAGGAUCGUUGGAGAAGAAUCGCUCGUGUAGACAUACCGGAGAAAAUCGAUCGCGACAACACAAGAAUCGAGACGAAAACUGUAAUGCGAGUGGUACACAAAAAGGAGGCUGCUCUGCUCUUUUCCCCCGCUUUGACUUGGGAGGAUGGAUGAGGAAGACCUGGGUUUACCUCCGGAACCGAAGUCGCAGAUGCAACUGGUUUUCUCCUCCCCGUCGCCGAGAAGAACGAAGCUUGCUGGAGAAGGAGAAAGGAGGAGGAAGAGGGGUCAGGUCUCGGGCUUGGACGGAGUGGCGGAAGCCUGGGCCGGUGUCCUUGUCGCAAAAGCCUACGAGUUUCUGUCAGGCCCAUUGAUGGGAUAAGACUGCUCAGUCCCCGUCUAUCUUGUCUCAAAAAAAAAAGUCCCCGUCUAUCAUUGUCUAAAAAAAAAGUCCCCGUCUAUCUAAUUUUUUCACAAACCCCUCAAAAAAAAACUAAAUUUCUCACAAACCCCUAAAAAAAUCUAAUUUCUCACAAUACUGUAACAUAUAUUUUUCACCCCCAAAAUAUAGACCACAGGACAAGUAGCCUAUACAACUUUUGCUAGGGCUCCUUUGGUUCCAAGAAAACGUGAAGAAAAGGGUAGGAAUAAGCAACUUUUAUAUGGUUGUAUUAUUAAUGCCCUCGGUUCAAAGGAAUGGGGGCAAAGAAAACAAAACUAUUGAUCUCAAUUUCAAAGGAAAAACAUAGAAAUUCUAAUACCCACUUGAAUUUCCUUUUCAGAUUCAUAUGCGCGAAGAACGAGAUUAAGAUCCCGGCCUCGCCUCGUCCUCGCAAAACCACACCACAUGCACCACGUUUAGUAGGUUGCAUUAGGUUCAGCCAGGUUCGCGUUGUGUAAAUUUUUUUGUUUGGUUGCCUUGUCUACAUCUAUUUUUUGGCUCGUAUGAUGUUAAAACAUAGCUCAGGCAGAGCCGCUAAAAAAUGUCGAAUCAACUAUUUCUAGCAAGCCAGACUCGAGCAAUGCAGGAGAGCACAAGCAGUGGGUCUCACGAUGCAACAUGGUGCAGGACUGGGACAUAGGGUCAGUGGGGUUUGCGCAUGUUCCUGUUUUGCUCAACUCCAUAAUCUCUUCCGCAUAAUUCUUUCUAUUCCACACAACAACACUUUGGCUUGGGAUAAGCUCUACAUGAAAAAGAUGCAAAUCGAUGUUAUGGUUCUAUUCACGUGAUCGGUUCAUAGUUUCAUUAACUAUAAAUGUUCAAUUUCAUGUUCAUGUUCGAAGUUAUUUUGGAUAAAAUUUGUCAAAUCGUCACACGGAUCAUUUGAAUUUUCUUUGACCAAUAAUUUCAUCUUCCUGUUUCACACGGCAUUCGUGUUGUACAUUUUUUUGUUUCAAUGGUCGUAGACAUGUAGAUCUUUAUCGCUCUAGUGCCCUAAUGGAAUGUACAAAUGCAUAUGUGCGAUUUGUUUUACUCACAUUUCUUAACCUCCUUCACCUAGUCCCCUCUAAUCUACGGUGGUCGGUACGAGAUAAAUUCUACACCAAAAAGAUGCACAUCACUGUUUAUGAAUACCUUGAAACUUCAGUGUAGCCCGAACUUUGUCCAAACCUGAGAAGUAUAAAAUGGAAAUUCUUUUCUAUUCUCAUGUUCAAUAGCAGCAGUUCAGAACAUGACCUCAAGCAGCUAGGUGUGGUCAAAACUUCGCUGGCUUUGCCCUGUCCACCUACGUAAGCUUCAUUAUAGUUCACUUCAUUUCAAAUUUACUCUAUUGGCGAUGUGUCCAGUGAAAACUUGAUUUGGGUGAAAACCUGAAAACUUGCCUCUGGUAACCAUCGAUUCUACAACGAACAACAUCUGGUCACCAAAAUGGGCCAAGCCCAUUCUCCAUCAACCAUGAUAACAAGGGAAACAAUGUUCAAAAGGAUUAAACGGGUUCUGGUAUGUUACCCAGCACUAACACUAGAUCCAGUGACUCACAGCAGUAGUUGCAGUUGUUCCCAGGUAGGAGAAGAACAGAAAGCUCCAUUGGCUGAUCCUUUCGGACGCAUUACCCUAGAUACACUAUAACCCUAGAUCUAGGUUGAUCAAGUCGUCGUCGCCUCGCAGCCGCUUGUUAGGCUUCUGGCUUCCCUCAGGGUCAGCUUUCUCCUCCUUGCAUUGACUAGCGGCUGCAGCAGGGGCUGGGACGCUAGCAUCGUCCAUGAUCGACCUCACCGAGAAGCUCCCGUCCAUGUACUUGUCGAAAACCUCGAAGGUGUGCGUCGAGCCAAUAAGAUCCUCGAUUUCGUCUGGCAGGCUGUACCACUCAUCAUCGUCCUCGAUCUUAUUCACGAGCUCCUCCGCGGAGACACCGACCAGCUCCUCCGCCACCUCACAGAAGAUCAUCAGGUUCAUUGCGCCGGUAGCAUCCUGCACCUUCGCCUUCAGCUUGUACCUAGCAUGCCCACAAGGCCAGAACAUAAGUGUGGUAAUCAGUGACUCAUGAAAGAGCAACAAGUAUGCACUGAGAACCGAUGCGCCAAUGGCACCAUAGCAUUGCAGGUCCCUACCACUGAACUGGCAUCAUCGGGCCACAUCGGGCACACCUGUAUUUCCUUGGAGCCCUGGACAUCGACUUUUGGCAGGUGUCGCAUCCAAGAUAGCACCAACCAUUGGUGCAAUCUACAUCUAUCAGGGAGACUCUGCACAAAAACAUGGUAUCCUGCAAGUGGACACAGAUACGUGAGUAAAACGGAUAUAGGCUUUGCGCACAUAAACGAGAAGAGCAGCAAACUUGAUUUACCUCAUCGUACUCUUCUCGAUCGAGGCUUUUUAGCUGUUUGAUUGUUCGCCAACUCUCGGCCAACUUCUGAGCUGGAGUUUUUUCUGGAACAGGGUUUGCCUGCUGAAUGAGCAAACUGCGUGCACAUGGACCAGUUAGCCAUGUACUACUAGCACAGCUCAGAUCAAUCAUCAACGAAGGUAAAAACUUUAUGAAACCCACUCACUUCGCACGGAAUUCUUGCACCUCUGGUAUUUCCAAAUCCAGAUAGUACAUUGAAGAUGUUGUAGAGCAAACUACAACAACCAAAGAUCACAAACAAAUGGCACCAAAGUAUUACAGUACACACUAUUGCGUCGAAUGAUAAGGCAGACUAAAGUUUUAAAAGAAAGAAAGGACUGUAUUUCAACAGUAUCGCAUGGUAGAAACAGGCAAAUGAACCAGUGGAUCAAGGAUUAACCUGAUGAUGAGGAAGUAACAGACAUCCCUGCAAAGACAGCAACAACUGAGGCGUCUUGGCCUUUCUCGAGCAUAUCCUCAGCAAAACCAGAAGCAACAUCUCCAAACAGUGUCACACUCAGUGCCCUUCCUCUGCAAAUGGUAACUCCAGCAGUAAGGAGCUAUCAAGGGACGUCAAUCAUUAGAAAGAAGGAUGUGUAUUCCGUUACCUCAAAUCCCGAAUUCUUGCAUUGCAAAUUUCUAUAACGCGUGAUUUUUUUGAGACUUCCUCUAGCUCCCCAACAUAUACUAUGUGACCCAGAACAUCUGCAUAUGUCAGGAAAGGAAUGAGAUAUACAUGUGGCAGGUCUGAUGCUGAUCAAAUAUUCAGUUCCAACAGAACCUACCAGUCAAUAAGCUGUUGUCAUCGCACCUAUAACGGAGAUCCUUAAAUUUAACAAACUCAAAGCUGUGGAGGGGUAUCGAAUCAAUAUCUCCUUCCAUCUCAGUGACCACCGUCUGCCUUCUAAUGUACAUAGUCCACUCAUUGCUACAGGACAUAUAGUAGUCCCUCUGCGAAUCAACAUGAAAAUCUGACAAGACAUAGACCUUCCCUUCAACUAGCAGAUCUUCAAACCACUCUAUAUCGCCAGGUUCUACACGAGCCUGCAUAGUUUUAC
Molecule: long non-coding RNA, 5330 nt
Filed under: Triticum aestivum (bread wheat)
Lineage: Eukaryota; Viridiplantae; Streptophyta; Magnoliopsida; Poales; Poaceae
Description: long non-coding RNA (TAES_LNC003720)
Source: RNAcentral